ACUUAAUAAAUGCCUAAAUAGUCUAAAAAGCUAGUAGGAUACCAUUAUAACUUUCAACUUUACAGCACUCUGACUCCAUAUAAUAUAAAGUAACGACUAAUCAACUGUUAAAUUAGUCGUCGACUAUUUUAAUAGUUGAUUAGUCGAUCAAUCGUGGUAGCCCUAAUUGCAGGCAGCUGUGGCUUUCUCCAGGAGACCUCGGGGGUUGGAGUCAUUGGUGGGGGUGGGGAUUGCAUCACAUAUUAACCAAUUCACACCAGCAUGACUGAUGACCCCCUCCUCAAUGUCCACAGGAGGAACAUGGAUCAUCUGCAUAGAAUUGAAUCUUUGUCCGAUUGUUUCAUUGAGAACACUUUCAGGGAUCGUUUUCAUUUUCAGCCUCAUGAAUCUUUUGUUCGGUUUCUUCAUCCUCAGUCCUGCAGACUGUUUCCGUCUCGGACCCAAUACUUGAAGAUCUUCCACAUCUGUGAAAGUGACCUCCCCGUCUCUGCCCGGCGCUGCGUGACGGUUCGCGGAGGUCCAGCUGGCCGCUGACGUGGCCUCGGCUCUGAGGGAUGAGAUGCAGGAGAGUUAGGAUGUCCUGUCUCUUAUCACUUCCCUUUGGCUCCAUUGUUCUCCGAUCCACCAGGAAUGUUCUCCUCCUUCUGCUCUGGAGGGAGUCUCUUUAUUAUCCGCGGUGAGGUGUCACCUGCUGCCGCAGAGGUGUGAGGCCUUGACUUGUUUCGUCAUGCGUUUGUCCGGUACCUGCGUUUGGAAAAUUGGUUUGUACGUCAACAUGUUUGACAUUUUUAGUUUGUUUUUGUAGUGGCGCAGUCUGUCCAAAUCCAGUUUGUGGACGCUGAAGAUGCUGAGAUGGACCUUCAAAGAUUCAGGUCAGCGUGGACGACAGGAAUCCCACACCUCCGUGUUUCCUCGCCAAAACCCCCACAGAGAACAGACUGGUUUUGAUGGUCAUUGAACACAACCCCCUGAGGAAAACAGGAAGACAAGGUCAGCUGAAAACCAUCUGGAAUUCCAAGGACCUCCUUGUCCAGGACAAACGCUUGGAGACGCGCGGAGCUCCUGAUGACAUUGACCCAGCCGGGUCUCAACAUGUUUGGCUGCAGGGCUGGAAAUCCUGUUGCACGAUCCAAGCUGCACUUGUUCUGAUGAAUUUCUGUUCCGCUGCCUCGCCUCUUCUCAUGCCAGACCAAUAAAAGCCCUUCAUAAACAAACGGCGUCGCUGUGACAUCACCAUCCACCGCCAUCGCUGAAGCUGGUUCAUGAAGCAGUUUGAGUUCACUGAUCCGUGUCCGUUGGACUCAUGUUCAUUCCUCACUAAACGGAUCAUCUUCAACCAGUUUCAUUCUCAUUCCAGACUCGCCACAGACUAACGUUUGGUUAAGGACCCCUCCAUGCCUCUUU
This 1404-nucleotide long non-coding RNA is filed under the name Oryzias javanicus (javanese ricefish). Its description in RNAcentral is "lncRNA (ENSOJAG00000015551.1)". Lineage: Eukaryota; Metazoa; Chordata; Actinopteri; Beloniformes; Adrianichthyidae. The record is from RNAcentral.